Molecule: ribosomal RNA, 340 nt
Filed under: uncultured Limnofilidae
Lineage: Eukaryota; Cercozoa; Limnofilidae
Description: bacterial SSU rRNA
Rfam family: Eukaryotic small subunit ribosomal RNA (bases 124-340)
Source: RNAcentral
GACUUGUGUGCGCCGGAUGCGGCGAUCUGCGGCCAAAAGGUCGUUGCGAUCAGCCCGUCCUGGCGCCGUAAAAUUUGCAACUGAGUCGCCUCUGGUCUUAAUUGGUCGGUGGCGUCUGCUCGGUUGCUCGUUUACUGUGAGAAAAUUGGAGUGUUCAAGGCAGGCGUGGAUUGCAACUGAACAUGUUAGCAUGGAAUAAUAAGAUAGGGCUCCGGCUCAUAUUUUGUUGGUUUCUAGAGCGUGGGAGUAAUGAUUGAUAGGGACAGUUGGGGGUGCUAGUAUUCAGCGGCCAGAGGUGAAAUUCAUGGAUUCGUUGAAGACUGACUUAUGCGAAAGCAUU